GGCUUCACCUUGACAAUUGCAUCUUCAGAGCAAAGUCUGUUCAUUUUCUUCUUUUUUUGCUCGACAUAUUUAGUAUGGAUUAAAAUAUUAAGAAAGAAACCACGUGACGUACAACUACGACAGCCGCUGAUACUGCGUGCACUACAUUCCCCGCAGCACUGAUUGGCCGAGCAAUGCAACAUGAUCCUCUGCAGCAAGUGACGGCCAAGCGGGGCGUGUCAUCACGACUUUACAGAAGUGUGUCUUUACCUCCGCGGCAGAGGCUCCGCCGAACCCUCUGAGACCGACUCAUCGAACCCCUGGGGUUCGAUCGAACCCAGGUUAAGAACCACUGUACUAGAGACUCCUAAGGAAGAGCAGUGUGAUGUGCCUCUG
Long non-coding RNA from Xiphophorus couchianus (Monterrey platyfish), 375 nucleotides. RefSeq lists it as uncharacterized. The transcript is spliced from 4 exons. Lineage: Eukaryota; Metazoa; Chordata; Actinopteri; Cyprinodontiformes; Poeciliidae. The record is from RefSeq and is a predicted model, not a curated record.